This 446-nucleotide ribosomal RNA is filed under the name uncultured bacterium. RNAcentral describes it as "bacterial SSU rRNA". It matches the Rfam family "Bacterial small subunit ribosomal RNA", at positions 329 to 793 of the family's 1533-position model. The record is from RNAcentral.
GACCAGACUCCUACGGGAGGCAGCAGUAGGGAAUUUUGCGCAAUGGGGGAAACCCUGACGCAGCAACACCGCGUGAAUGUUAAGCCCUUCGGGGUGUAAAGUUCUGUCAAUAGGGACGAAUUUUGACUGUACCUAUAAAGGAAGCACCGGCUAACUCCGUGCCAGCAGCCGCGGUAAUACGGAGGAUGCGAGCGUUAUCCGGAUUUAUUGGGUUUAAAGGGUGCGUAGGCGGAUUUUUAAGUCAGCGGUAAAAUGUCCGGGCUCAACCCGGGCCGGCCGUUGAAACUGGGGAUCUUGAGUGGGCGAGAAGUAUGCGGAAUGCGUGGUGUAGCGGUGAAAUGCAUAGAUAUCACGCAGAACUCCGAUUGCGAAGGCAGCAUACCGGCGCCCGACUGACGCUGAGGCACGAAAGCGUGGGGAUCGAACAGGAUUAGAUACCCGUGUAA